This 1554-nucleotide long non-coding RNA is filed under the name Sus scrofa (pig). RNAcentral's name for it is "lncRNA (ENSSSCG00045006314.1)". Lineage: Eukaryota; Metazoa; Chordata; Mammalia; Artiodactyla; Suidae. The record is from RNAcentral.
CGGCUGCCGCGCGCGUCUUCUUCCCGCAGUCGGCCGCUGCCGCUGCCGCAGCCGCCGCCGCCGCCGCCGCCGGCAGCCCUUACUCUCUGCUCGACCUGGGCUCCAAGAUGGCAGAGAUCUCGUCGUCCUCGUCCGGCCUCCCGUACGCGUCGUCGCUGGGCUACCCGACCGCGGGUGCGGGCGCCUUCCACGGCGCGGCGGCCGCGGCUGCAGCGGCGGCCGCGGCCGCCGGGGGGCACACGCACUCGCACCCCAGCCCGGGCAACCCGGGCUACAUGAUCCCGUGCAACUGCAGCGCGUGGCCCAGCCCCGGGCUGCAGCCGCCGCUCGCCUACAUCCUGCUGCCGGGCAUGGGCAAGCCUCAGCUGGACCCCUACCCUGCGGCCUACGCCGCCGCGCUAUGACCCCGCGGGGCCGCCUCGCGAGGACCGGUGUGCACACGUGUACAUAUGUAUAGGCUCCGGGCAACCUAGGCGAGGGGCGCCUAAGAUGGAGAGGAGGUUCGACCGUCUUCCCGGAGCAGAUAGGACCCGCGCGCCAGCCAAUCAGAGCGCGGCUCGGCCGCUCCCCGCCUCAGCCGCAGCCGCAGCCGCAGCCUCCGGGCAAGUGAAGUUCCAGCAACUCGCCCGCCCGAAGAGUCCGAGUCUUUCUUGUGCCCACAGCCCCGCGGAGGCAGAGAGCGCCAUCCAAACUUUAUUAAUCUCUCCCCGUUCUUUCUCCCUCAGUCCAGUGCAUCUCAAAGGUUCAACACCUGGGGAAGGUGCUGCCUGGGCUGACGAGAGAUGGGCCACGCCGAACCGCAGGAGAAGGUGAAGGACCUCAGACCUCAGCCGCCCCCAACCCUAACUCCUCCGCAAAGCCCCUGCCGAGUCAGCCCCAACUGAGAAAAGAGACUACCCGGUCGAGGAGGGAACACAUGGGAGGAGAUGAUCGCUGGGCUCUAGAAGAUUCCUCAAGGAAGUGAGGGAUCCGGCAGCGGGGGAGGGUCUCGAAAGUCCCCCCACCCAGACUUGGGGACCCCUCUUUCUGCAGCUGGAGGAGUCACAUUCGAAAGAGGGGUCUCUGAAAUUGGGACCAGCCUCUCCCCGACGAUUUUAACCCCUGCAAACCCACUAUGAUUUUGGGCAGCCUGAAACUUAAGAAAAUUAUUAAAUCACGAUUAUCACAGGUCUUUGGAAGAGGGGUCGGUGCCAGCGAGAGACUGUGAAACAAAAGGUCCUUUGCCUUCCUCUUCCCGGGAAAUCUGCCUCUGAUAGACCCUCAGGACUACCCGGGAGCUCGUUCUCAGCUCCAGGUGAGGCGAGAGCCUGGGGCAGAAGUGAGGCCCUUAGCUAAAGGCCCCAUCCCCUGCUCAGCCCCCCGCCGCUUCUCCCGCCUCCAGCCGAGGGGGCGGGCGGGACAAAGGCGCCAACGGCUUUGCCCCAGUCCAAAGCUUCCUUGCGUUUCUAGAUCCCAACUUGCUGUUGCUCCUUUUCGGGGACUCGGUUUUCUCCUGCAAACCUAGACUCGAGUAAGUAGUUAGAGCGGCUGAUGAAUAUGUAUUCGAACAGGCUG